This is a long non-coding RNA of Mus musculus (house mouse), 8952 nucleotides long. RefSeq annotates it as predicted gene, 32135. The transcript is spliced from 3 exons. The record is from RefSeq and is a predicted model, not a curated record. Lineage: Eukaryota; Metazoa; Chordata; Mammalia; Rodentia; Muridae.
CCAAACAGAUGUGUCGUCUGGUGAUUCUGAGACCCCACGCAGUCCUCAGAUAGCCAUGAAUGAAGCCUACCAUCUAACCAUAGGCUUACUUAAAGCAUUAUAAGACCACUUUGUGAUUGGAGGAGGGGUUUGUUCUUGAGUGUGAACUUUUAGAUGAUGUUGUGUUACCACAUCAAAGGUUGGUCUCUAUCAAAUACAUCGUCCUAUGUUUUGUCUGUCUGUCUGUCUGUCUGCUGAUCGGAUUUGCUUCAUUCGCUUCACUGUGGUCUGCUCAUGGCUCCUACCUGGAUACCACGAGGACAGGGUAAGUGCUGGGGACCUGUGACUCCCACAGGGUCUGUACAUCUUUCUCCUUUUCUCUUUUGCAGUAUUGGGGUUUGUACCCAGGACUUUGCACCUUCUUGGUAAGUGCUGUACUACUGAGAUACACCACUGGGGCCCUCUUUUAGGUUUUGCUUUGAGCCAGAGUCUCCCCAUGUUGCCUGGGCUGACCUCGAAACAGUCCUCCAGCUUCAGUCUCCUGAGAAGAGGAGCCGGGACGGUGGGGCAGUACCAUCGCACCCAGCCUGUCUCCCUCUGCUUGUACAUCGUCUGCAUCUCCUUUCUUCCUACUUAUCCACAUCACCCUGUUGGCAUCUGGACUGCCACAUACAGCAGCAGCUCUGACCUCAGACCUCACAGGUCAUGAGUUAGGGCACUAUGAGAUGACCUGUAUAGGAGAGAGCACUUAGGGCCCGAUCAACCCACAGGAUCAACGAAAGCUAAGGGGCUACCCUCAAAGAAGACACCGGAUGGUUCAGAUCAGAACAAGUUCAGGCGAGGAAUCAGGAAAGAGAGAAAUAAGCCAGACCUUACUCCAACUGCACCCCCUGCCCCAGCUGACUAAAGAGGACCUGAGGCUGGGGUAAAGGAGAAGGCAGAACCCUUAGUGUCUUGUUGGGGAAUUUGGGUUGUAACCUGUAGAUAACUGAGAGAAUGCAACGGUCACAUUUUAAUUUGGCUUAGGAGCUGGAGAUAUAACUCAUUUGGCAGAGUCCUGACAUGCGAGAGGCCUUGGGUUGAAGCCCCAGUGGUGUAUUAACUGGCUGUGGAGGUGCUCAUCUGUAAUCUAGAACUUGGCUGGGGACUUGCUACAGCAUGAGUUUAAGGCUAGUCUGGGGCUCAUGAAACACAGAUAGAUAGAUAGAUAGAUAGAUAGAUAGAUAGAUAGAUAGAUAGAUAGAUAGAUGAAGUGGAUUGUAUUAAUUUUGGGGGCAGUCAAGAAAAAAAAAGAAGGGAGAGAGAGAAAGGAAAGAAGGUAGGCGAUGGCGGAGAAGAAAGCUCCCCGCUUUGUGUUUCUUGGAGUUCUGAGCUAACUACCCAACUAGGAAGGUGCCUCACUGUCUGCAGAGAAGCAAUGUAUAGAUAUAUAGCAGCUUGGGGUUAUUUUUCUGCCCUGAUUUCCUGAGCCAUUUCUAGUUUGAAUCCUUAUCAAGAGGAGGUUUCUUGUUUUCCCAUCUAAUGAAAGUCAUAACCCAGAGCCACCAGAUCUAUUGUCAGAGUGCGUUGGAAGCAGAACUAAGAACAAUGAGCUUUUUCCUACUUGUUUGCUUAGCAACAUCACCCAUCUGCCCAAGAUGCUGUGUUAGCAACGGGGCCGCCUGCUCCCAAACACACAGCUCUGGGCUUGGUCAACUCACAAAUCUCAUCAUGCCUGACAACUCUUGUUGGAGCUGGAAGAAUCUCCCAGGGGCUUGCCUGAGUCAGUUUUUACCAACCUCGGAAUGGCAGGAAGAGUUUCAGCUCCAAAGAUCUCCACUCCAGAGUGUUACUCCCAGGAAUGCCAUUUCCUGGCAAAAGGGAUUUUGCCCAGAUAAUUGAGGUGCUAAUUAGCUGACCUUAAAUUAAGAUCUGUGUGGGCUCACCGUAGUUCCACAAGCCCUUAACAGCAGAGACCUUUUGCUGGGAUCAGCGGGGAAAUUAGAGCUUGAAAGAGUGACAGGAACUUGUUAGGCUACGGUGGCUUAAAGAUUCAUGAAGAAGGCAGUGUGUCACAGAGAGGAGGGUUCAGGCUUGCAAUGGCAAGAGCCUCAAUCCUGGGGCUGGAGAGAUGGCUCAGCAGUUAAUGCUGCCCAUGCAGAGGAUCCAGGUUUAGUUCCCAACACCACACUGGGUGGCUCACAACACCCUGUUCUGACUUCCGUAGAUACAAGGCAUGUGCGCGGUAUUCAUUCAUACAUACAUACAUACAUACAUACAUACAUACAUACAUAAAAAAUUUUAAAAUCUGUUUUAAAGACUCUGGAUUCUGCCAGGAAACCAAAUUAGCACAGAAGCAGGCCUUCUCCAGGGAGCCAGCCCUGGUUUAGGCACCAGCCUGGAGUCACAGCCACUAUGGAAGCAGAGGCAGCAAGACCAUAAAUUUAUAGCCUGUUUGGGCAAUUUGCCCUGUCUCCAACUAGCCAAACAAAAUUAUAGAUCUGAGGACCUAGUCGAGCCAUAGAGUGCUUUCUUAGCAUGAGCAAGACCCCGAGGCCAACUCCUAGCACAACCAAAAUAAACAGGUAUAUAAAAGCAAGGACUCCGAAAGCCCGGCACACAAGGCGGCACAAAGCUACGCUGUGCCUGCAGCUCUGCCACAGCUCCGUGAGGAAGCCGGUAAGCAGGGUUUAAACCACCACGUUCCUGCUGAUCUGGUGCGGCAAAAACAAGAAAGUAAUGCUUUCAGGUAGAAGGAGAAAAGCAAGAAUGCCAGAAUACAUUUUCCUCCAAUGAAAGAACCAGACUCAAAUAUACAUCUGCAUCCUUUCUGAUCUACAUACGGUGCAGAGCAGUUUUCUCCCAUAAAAUGAUGGGUAGUGGGGAGGGUUUGUUUCUAAUGUGCUCAUGUGACAAAAUGAAAGUUCCCGUGCCCUGCUUAUCCUUUUGUCCCCUGGUCCACUUCUUCCUCUGUGAAUCCAGGUACAGGCAGUGGUGAUGUAAUCUACACCCUCCCCACCCCCACCUCCCUGGGGGAAAGCCGAGGACCAGAAGGGAGGCUCUCUCCUGCAACUUGCCACGAUUAAGGGGGGCAUUUUUGGAUUCCCAGUUUAGAGGUUUCUUAUAAUUAGUGAUUUUGGCAAGUGAAAGUUAAAGCUAAGUGUUCUGGAAAGACAGGCCAUUUCCUUCAAACAGUGCUGCCAGCCAGGACCUCCAAAUGUGUCAGAGCCCUUGGCCUAAGGCAGGAGAACUCACCUACUGGGGACUAAGACCUCUUCCUCCCCUAAUGGGACUACUAUUAAGCCGCACCCAAAGGGAUCUGUUCCUCCCUCAGACCUUUCCCUGUGUGUGUGUGUGUGUGUGUGUGUGUGUGUGUGUGUGUGUGUGUGUGAUGUCUGUCUGUUCAAUUGAGGAAUUGCCCACAGGCACAUCUGCAGGGGUGUUUUCAGACUGUUAACUGAUGGGGGGGGGGUUGGGUUGGUGGUCCUGAGUUGUGUGAAGAAGGUGGGUGACUGUAAGCCUGGGGGCAAGUCAGUCAUUCCUCCAUGGGCUGCUUCAGUUCCUGCCUCCAGCUUCUUGCCUUGAGUUGCUGCUUUGGCUUCUAUGGAUGAUAGAGUGUAAUCCCUAAACCAGAUUAACCCCUUCCUCCCCAAGUUGCUUUUGAUCAUGUUUAUCAGAACUAGGAAAGUAAUUAAGAUAUGCUCAUUUUUUUUAAUAGAGCCUCUGAUUAAGCCUGGAACUCUUCGGUUAUCUAGACUGGCAGCCCAGUGAGCUCCAGAGAUCCACUUGUCUCUGCCCAGCUCUCCUUCCCAGCACGAUCAUUACAGACACACGCCACCAUGCCAAGUGGGUGUAGGAGAUUUGAACUCAGGUCCUAUGGCUUGCAUAACAGGUACUUUUCCGGCUGAGCAACCUCCCAGCCGUUGUUUUUUGUCUUCAAUUUUUUUUUUAAAUUAGCAUUGAGGUGGAGGGACAUAGCAUGUCAUGGCACAUACAUAGAGGUCAGAGGACAACUUGUAGAAUCAGUUCUAGUCUCCAUCUUUAUGUGAGUUCUGGAAAUUGAACUCAGCUCUUCCGGCUUGGUGGCAAGCACCUUUAUGCACUGAGCCAUCUUGUUGGCCCCCUUCCUUGCUUUUUGAGUAAGAGCCUCACUAGAUAGCAUAGUCUCGCAUGGAAUUCUGUAUGUGUCCCAGGCUGGCACCAACCUGGAUUCUCCCCCAUGCUGGAGUUACAGGCUUGUACCACCAACCUUGGCUAUUCGUCUGUCCUACUUAAACACUCUCCCCUAAUUCUAAUUUCUCAUUCUGAAUCGUCUUAGAUAACAUUUGUUAUCCCCAAAAGGUGGACUUUCCAGCGGACCACAGCUGGACUAUCUUGGGGCUUCAAACUCACCCCAGCAGGGGGCUGGGCCCAGCAGAGCUGGACUGAUCCAGAAGCAACAGUGGGCUCCCUGUUUUCCCUGUAGCCAGCAUCUCCCCACAUUUGUUCCAUACCCCACAGAGCUGUCCUGGAGUGGAAUAAGCUCUGGACUCCCCCUGCACCCUGAACCAGCAUCCGAGCCCGUGUUACAUAUGUCACUGGGCCUCCACAAAGUCACGCACUAAAAGCCUAGGAAAGAGGGCCCCAGAGGUCCUUGACAGAGAGUAGCUUUCCCGUGCGGCCUCAGGACUGUGUCCUGGACAAGCCUGCUGAGUGCCUACCAGAGCAGCUCCUCAACAGGUCACCUGCUGAGUAACAAUUUGCUUGAUGGCCAGUUCGCUGACACGUGGGAGAUUUCUCCAAGUGAUUCCUGAGGGGGCGGGGCUUGUGGCCACUUCCCCAGACACACUUCACAGAUGUGUCCUUCCAGCUCAGGCGGAAGUAAAUUUCAUGCUCGUGUUUCACAUUUCCUCCCUUCCUAAAGGCUGCGCUUAGAGAUGAUUCCCGAAGCACUUGAGUAUCACCCCCUCAUGGUGGGGGGGGGGGGCUGCCCCUGCUGAAACCAGGAAAAUACUGGAAGCUGUUUGAUAUCCUACGCAUGGCCUCUGUCUGACAGCUGUCAGCGAGCUGUCCACUGGACCAAACAGUCAUUCGGAGAAGUUAUACGACAAGGUGUCUCUUUUAGCCAUUUGACUUUUGAUAAGUUGCCCUCAGAGCCCUAGAAGGGGGGCUCUCCCUGCAGGUCCUUCACUAGGCUGUCCUCCGCUCACCUCAAGAGGACAUGCUGAGUGUUGGCAUGGUCACCGGCCGCCUGGCACACAGGAAGUCAUCCUACCACCUCCUCCUAACUCACACUGCCAUGCACAGCUAGAAGGGCGGCCACAGGCCCGCCAACGAUCACCACCUGCACAUUCCAACACACUGUUUUGUCACCGACUGUUUCUCCUACCCUGUGAGAACCUGUCACAGAGAAAUCACUGGCACACAUGGGCUCUUAAAAUCCAGCACUUAUAAAUGGGAAUAGAUCCAAUGGCCAUGAAAAUCCUUUUUUUUUUUUUGUUAAUGAAAAAAGUAAGACUCCAGAAUGAGUUCCAUUUUCAUUUAAAUCUCACUUUUAAAGAAUUAAAAUACUUCUCUGACUUGAGAAUUUCAAAGAAAAUGAAGCUGAGAGUGAAAAUGUUUUUAAAGUAAAAAUGCCAAGAAAAUGUCAGAGUUAAUAAUGACCCAUUGAAAACUGGGAAUUAUUCCCCACAGAAUACUAGACUGGAAGGAGACAUUAAAAGCAACUGUGUCCAACCUGCUUUCAGGCUUCAGAGCCCUCUUCAUCUCUCCCACCACGAGCAGCCGGUGUGGUAUCUGCCAAUGUCCCUCCAGCGCCAGGAUCUCAGCUCUGCUUCUGACAAAGUUCUUAAGCUGGCCUGAAACCACCGCUUCUUUUGCAUUGUCUGUCCCAAAGUCCCAUAAAGGACCAGAUGGUGAGCGUCUUAGUCUUCAGUGGGCUGAGCAGCGACUCAUCUCAGCCACCGUAGUAUGAACAGCUACAGAUAAUGCAUGAAGGAGUGGGGGCUGCAAGCCAAUCAGACUUUAUUUUUAAAAGCUGCAACAGCUGGAUAUGGCCCAGGAGCCACAUUUUGUUCACCCCAGCUCUGUAGCCUCAUUGAACAAGCAUGGUCCUCCACCUCAGGAGAGCCCCCCAGAUACCUCAGCUCAGCCUGCGUUACUCGGAGAUGCCUUCGGGCUAAAUCACCCUUGGCUCCUCUAAUCACCCUAUACGGAUGCUUCUGUCUGUCAGAAGUCCCUGGGCAGGCUUCUGAGCACAAGUGUUUGGGAGCUGUGGAGCCUACAGUGAUCUCCCAAAUACCUCCAUCUGCCUGACAGAAAACAGGACUAGCUGCGGGUAUGACAGCUCAGGCCUCCCAUUCCAGCACUCCACAUUUGAGCUACAGAACAAGACCCUGCCUAAAACUCUGAACCAAGGCCAAAGCAAAGAGCAAAAGGACACCAGCUGCCAUCACCCCGCGUGUGCUAGACUCAGUACUGAGAAUGAACUUUCCAUCAUCUCAAACAGAAGAUCUCUCUACCUAUUAAACUCUGGAGGUUCUUAAAUUGCUUCACUCUGACCAUGACAUCACCAGAGUUGAUGGCAGCCGGGAAGAGGACCCAAGCAGAUGUGUGAAGGACGUGGUGGAGGAGAAGCAGGUCAGGAGAGCAUUUCUCUAAGCAGACGUUGACCUAGCAGUAAAGAGAAAUGAAGAUAGAACCAACUCACUUUACGCAGGCAAGCGAAAUGGACUGCUUUCCUGUGGGCCGAACCUGAGAAGGAGCCUUGAAGGCUGAGCUGAUGGGAAAGCUUGCAUUGAGAAGGAAGCGGUUGCCCGGAGCCCACACAGCAGGCCACAGGCAUGCUCCAGUCUUCUGGCAUGGGUGGGCUCUCCCAAACAUGUCUUUCUCAGCCCCAGGUCCUCAAACUCCUAUGAGGGCAUCUGACUUCUGCCACAGCAGCUGGUUGAGUCUGUAUUUGCUCUUUCUCUAGUCUUUCUGAGUCAGGUGACCUCCUGUGUCUGGCCCUGAACAAUCCCGAGGUGGGGAGCCAAAAGAACACAGCACAGCAAACUUCAUCCCAUCUCCCUCACACAUAAAGGUGAAGGACCAGGCUCUAAACCAAGUCUCAAGUGCAAAUCCCCCAAAUGGACAAGCUUGUCAGACCCUUGAGUCUCCCUGCUUCAGUGCCAGGCCACCUCAAGAAUCAUAAAUGUCUACCUCAAAGGGUUAGUAUGAGGGUUAAAAGAGUUCAUUUACUCAACACGUGUGGGCAAUCUAUACCUUGGGAAUAUCUAAAGAUGGCAGGCUCUUCCAAGGAUGGCCUCAGGACCUCAGCACCUCUUACAGACGCUAAGUAAGUGUCAACUACACAGGCCCCAUAGGGGAAAGGAGGAAUCACUGUUGGGCUGUGGGGUGUGGGCUCACUAUGUUCCCUCACACCUCACAUCUGUACAGGGCCGAUCAAUCCAAAAGAUGAGAGGGCCACCAUCAGCACCAAGCCUCUCAUUUCAUUCCACUAAAAGCCUGGACCAGUUUCAGAAGGAACAUGGAAGGAAAGGGCAGAGUGGUCACGACUGGACCAUACGGGACCCACCCCUUGCUAUUGCUUGCAAUUUCAGGACAAUCUGUUGGCAUGACAACCAGGCUUGCUGACCCUGCCGCCAGCUGUCACCAUCCUUGUGUGCAUAUCGCAAGGCACAGUCUCCAUCCACCACUGUCCUCCAGGCUGAGAGGUCUUGUGUUCUCCUGAGAUCUGCUUCCCUUAUGAGACAGCAAGCAAUAGGAGGGAUGUCUCCCUAGGCACCCUGCGCAAGACAUGUGUGGGCACCUGUAGAUCAUUUCCUCAAAGCCUAUAAAGGAGGUAUAUGCAAGCCCUCCGUGGGAAAGUGGGACAUACCAUGUUGCCUGGAACUGACUUGCCUUCCCAACUACAAGCAGAGUGGGGCCACCCUCCAUGCAUGCCUAUGAACUACAUCCAAGGAAGAUUCAGUCAAGAAGGGCUCAUGGAGCCAACUGUGCCAAAUGGCACAAUGUUCUGCCAGCAAACCCAAGGAUUCUGUCGUGUCUGAGACUACACAACAAUCCUAUGGGCCCAGGAUUCAGGACAGUCUACCUCAGCACCAUCAUAUGCAUCCACAUGCAUUCACAGAGGUGCUGGGUUCCACAAACACUAAUGGAGCACCAAAUCUAAUCCUUAAAUGAGGCACUUGGUGGUCACAAAGGUCAUGCUGGGGACAGCACACAAGGACCGAUGACACAUUUGUGGAUCAUGACAGCUCACCAUUCCCAAGGCUUGCUGUGUGCUGUGCCAAACCCUGCUCACAUCACCACAUCAUGUCACUUCCCAAGUCCUCGCUCUACAGACUCAGAGAUACAAGGUCUAGAGCUUAUAUCACAUUCAGCAUCGUGAAGAUAGCUGAAGAGGAGCGGACUUGGAGCGGGUAUCCACGUACUCACUCAGAUUCCCUGGGAGCCUGGGGAUAAAGGUGUCAAGAAUGAAGUUGCAACAAGCAGCCCAGGCAUUUUCAGUCUCCAGAGCCACCUUGUUCAUGUCACAGGCAAGGAAGCUUCCAGAAGCUCUCAGGGGAGGAAGAACCACAAUAUGGGGAGGGAAGGGUGUGUGGUGGACCCAGCAUGUUUUGUUGGUAAGAUGGAGGGUUUGAGGAUCUCACUAAAUUAGGCAAGGACAGUGGUCACCUGUGGAGUGGAUUGGAGGUCAGGAUGGCUUCUUGGAAGAGGGGGGGGGGGGGAAGAGAGGGAUAAAGGGAGAGGGAGAAGCGGAGUGGGGAGGAGAUGGAUUUUUGAAUAGGAGAGGGAACAGGACCGCCCCUCUGUCCUGAGCCAAAGCAUUAAGUACAGCCCAGGAUUGUGACCCUACACCCACACAACAUCACCCACCUUCUCCAGAAGCAGAGGGAACACAAAGCCGCACGGUUAGCUAGAUCACUGAUGCAGAGUGUUAUACAAGAAAACAAAGGAAUUUCGCUAGGAGGCUGGCGAUGCAGUCAGCCGCAAUAAAUAAAUUAAAUGCGC